Molecule: ribosomal RNA, 452 nt
Filed under: uncultured bacterium
Lineage: Bacteria
Description: bacterial SSU rRNA
Rfam family: Bacterial small subunit ribosomal RNA
Source: RNAcentral
UACGGGAGGCAGCAGUGGGGAAUAUUGCACAAUGGGCGCAAGCCUGAUGCAGCCAUGCCGCGUGUAUGAAAAAGGCCUUCGGGUUGUAAAGUACUUUCAGUCGUGAGGAAGGUGUUAAGGUUAAUAACCUUAGCAAUUGACGUUAGCGACAGAAGAAGCACCGGCUAACUCCGUGCCAGCAGCCGCGGUAAUACGGAGGGUGCGAGCGUUAAUCGGAAUUACUGGGCUAAAGGGCACGCAGGCGGUUAAUUAAGUUGGAUGUGAAUCCCCGGGCUUAACCUGGGAAUGGCAUUCAAGACUGGUUAGCUAGAGUCUUGUAGAGGGGGGUAGAAUUCCAUGUGUAGCGGUGAAAUGCGUAGAGAUGUGGAGGAAUACCGGUGGCGAAGGCGGCCCCUGGACAAAGACUGACGCUCAUGUGCGAAAGCGUGGGGAGCAAACGAGGGAUUAGAUAC